AGGGCACCACCAGGAGUGGAGCCUGCGGCUUAAUUUGACUCAACACGGGAAAACUCACCCGGCCCGGACACUGGAAGGAUUGACAGAUUGAGAGCUCUUUCUUGAUUCAGUGGGUGGUGGUGCAUGGCCGUUCUUAGUUGGUGGAGUGAUUUGCCUGGUUAAUUCCGAUAACGAACGAGACUCUAGCCUACUAAAUAGAUCGUCGGCUUACAAACGCCGGCGAGACUUCUUAGAGGGACAGGCGGUGAUUCAACCGCACGAAACAGAGCAAUAACAGGUCUGUGAUGCCCUUAGAUGUCCGGGGCCACACGCGCGCUACACUGAAGUGAUCAGCGUGCUUUUUCAACCUACUCUGUCAAGAGUGGGGAACCCAAUGAACCUUCUUCGUGAUUGGGAUAGGGGAUUGUAAUUAUUCCCCUUGAACGAGGAAUUCCCAGUAAGCGCGAGUCAUAAGCUCGCGUUGAUUACGUCCCUGCCCUUUGUACACACCGCCCGUCGCUACUACCGAUUGAAUGUUUU
This 519-nucleotide ribosomal RNA is filed under the name uncultured eukaryote. Its description in RNAcentral is "SSU rRNA". It matches the Rfam family "Eukaryotic small subunit ribosomal RNA", at positions 1161 to 1699 of the family's 1831-position model. The record is from RNAcentral.